GCGCCCGUAGCUCAGUUGGAUAGAGCAACGGCCUUCUAAGCCGUGGGUCGCAGGUUCGAGUCCUGCCGGGCGCG
RNAcentral lists this transfer RNA (74 nucleotides) under Thiocystis violascens DSM 198. It matches the Rfam family "tRNA". Rfam says of the family: Transfer RNA (tRNA) molecules are approximately 80 nucleotides in length. Their secondary structure includes four short double-helical elements and three loops (D, anti-codon, and T loops). Further hydrogen bonds mediate the characteristic L-shaped molecular structure. tRNAs have two regions of fundamental functional importance: the anti-codon, which is responsible for specific mRNA codon recognition, and the 3' end, to which the tRNAs corresponding amino acid is attached (by aminoacyl-tRNA synthetases). tRNAs cope with the degeneracy of the genetic code in two manners: having more than one tRNA (with a specific anti-codon) for a particular amino acid; and 'wobble' base-pairing, i.e. permitting non-standard base-pairing at the 3rd anti-codon position. The record is from Rfam by way of RNAcentral. Lineage: Bacteria; Pseudomonadati; Pseudomonadota; Gammaproteobacteria; Chromatiales; Chromatiaceae.